GAAGCUAUAGGUCAGUGGUAGAGUGUCUGCUUACCAUGCAUGAGGUCCUGGGUUUGAUCCCCAGUACCUCCA
This 72-nucleotide transfer RNA is filed under the name Camelus bactrianus (Bactrian camel). It matches the Rfam family "tRNA". From Rfam's summary of the family: Transfer RNA (tRNA) molecules are approximately 80 nucleotides in length. Their secondary structure includes four short double-helical elements and three loops (D, anti-codon, and T loops). RNAcentral also lists the same sequence under 3 other names. The record is from Rfam by way of RNAcentral. Lineage: Eukaryota; Metazoa; Chordata; Mammalia; Artiodactyla; Camelidae.